RNAcentral lists this small RNA (1632 nucleotides) under Pan troglodytes (chimpanzee). RNAcentral's name for it is "processed transcript". Lineage: Eukaryota; Metazoa; Chordata; Mammalia; Primates; Hominidae. The record is from RNAcentral.
CUGCUGGGUUACAGGCGCCGCUGUCCACCUCUACUCCGGGGUCUAGUACAGCGCUGGCGCUACGGCAAGGUCUGCCUGCGCUCCCUGCUCUACAACUCCUUUGGGGGCAGUGACACCGCUGUUGAUGCUGCCUUUGAGCCUGUCUACUGGCUGGUAGACAAUGUGAUCCGCUGGUUUGGAGUGGUGUUCGUGGUCCUGGUGAUCGUGCUGACAGGCUCCAUUGUAGCUAUCGCCUACCUGUGUGUCCUGCCUCUCAUCCUCCGAACCUACUCAGUGCCACGACUCUGCUGGCAUUUCUUCUAUAGCCACUGGAAUCUGAUCCUGAUUGUCUUCCACUACUACCAGGCCAUCACCACUCCGCCUGGGUACCCACCCCAGGGCAGGAAUGAUAUCGCCACCGUCUCCAUCUGUAAGAAGUGCAUUUACCCCAAGCCAGCCCGAACACACCACUGCAGCAUCUGCAACAGCAGGAUGCUGGUCCUUGUAGGGAAGGAUUGGCACUGACAUCUCAAGAACUUUGGCCACCGUAACAGAGCCUGUGUCCCUUCCUCACAGGUGUGUGCUGAAGAUGGAUCACCACUGCCCCUGGCUAAACAAUUGUGUGGGCCACUAUAACCAUCGGUACUUCUUCUCUUUCUGCUUUUUCAUGACUCUGGGCUGUGUCUACUGCAGCUAUGGAAGUUGGGACCUUUUCCGGGAGGCUUAUGCUGCCAUUGAGAAAAUGAAACAGCUCGACAAGAACAAACUACAGGCGGUUGCCAACCAGACUUAUCACCAGACCCCACCACCCACCUUCUCCUUUCGAGAAAGGAUGACUCACAAGAGUCUUGUCUACCUCUGGUUCCUGUGCAGUUCUGUGGCACUUGCCCUGGGUGCCCUAACUGUAUGGCAUGCUGUUCUCAUCAGUCGAGGUGAGACUAGCAUCGAAAGGCACAUCAACAAGAAGGAGAGACGUCGGCUACAGGCCAAGGGCAGAGUAUUUACGAAUCCUUACAACUACGGCUGCUUGGACAACUGGAAGGUAUUCCUGGGUGUGGAUACAGGAAGGCACUGGCUUACUCGGGUGCUCUUACCUUCUAGUCACCUGCCCCAUGGGAAUGGAAUGAGCUGGGAGCCCCCUCCUUGGGUGACUGCUCACUCAGCCUCUGUGAUGGCAGUGUGAGCUGGACUGUGUCAGCCACGACUCGAGCACUCAUUCUGCUCCCUAUGUUAUUUCAAGGGCCUCCAAGGGCAGCUUUUCUUGGAAUCCUUGAUCAAAAAGAGCCAGUGGGCCUGCCUUAGGGUACCAUGCAGGACAAUUCAAGGACCAGCCUUUUUACCACUGCAGAAGAAAGACACAAUGUGGAGAAAUCUUAGGACUGACAUCCCUUUACUCAGGCAAACAGAAGUUCCAACCCCAGACUAGGGGUCAGGCAGCUAGCUACCUACCUUGCCCAGUGCUGACCCGGACCUCCUCCAGGAUACAGCACUGGAGUUGGCCACCACCUCUUCUACUUGCUGUCUGAAAAAACACCUGACUAGUACAGCUGAGAUCUUGGCUUCUCAACAGGGCAAAGAUACCAGGCCUGCUGCUGAGGUCACUGCCACUUCUCACAUGCUGCUUAAGGGAGCAAAAAUAAAGGUAUUCGAUUU